UGCGCAGGCGGUUUUGUAAGAUAGAUGUGAAAUCCCCGGGCUCAACCUGGGAACUGCAUAUAUGACUGCAAAGCUAGAGUACGGUAGAGGGGGGUAGAAUUCCAGGUGUAGCGGUGAAAUGCGUAGAGAUCUGGAGGAAUACCGAUUGCGAAGGCAGCCCCCUGGACAGUGACUGACGCUCAUAUGCGAAAGCGUGGGGAUCAAACAGGAUUAGAUACCCUCGUA
RNAcentral lists this ribosomal RNA (225 nucleotides) under uncultured Thorsellia sp. RNAcentral's name for it is "partial 16S ribosomal RNA". It matches the Rfam family "Bacterial small subunit ribosomal RNA", at positions 568 to 792 of the family's 1533-position model. The record is from RNAcentral. Lineage: Bacteria; Pseudomonadati; Pseudomonadota; Gammaproteobacteria; Enterobacterales; Thorselliaceae.